UAUAUAUAUGUAUAUAUUCAUAAUUUUUCACCCUUUAAAUCUAUCAUUCUACCAUUUUUACCGAUUAGAUCAUACUCUUCAAUCUUCGGGAACAACUAUUAUCCUAACCAAGCAUUACUAUUAUUCUAAUCACAGAUCCGUUCAUUCAACGGCUGAAAAUUGAUUAGUAUGAAAAGAUCUAUACUCAUAAGAAUAUAACAGAGCCAACUAGAUCCAUGCGAGUAUAACCACCAA
Molecule: long non-coding RNA, 234 nt
Filed under: Ananas comosus (pineapple)
Lineage: Eukaryota; Viridiplantae; Streptophyta; Magnoliopsida; Poales; Bromeliaceae
Description: long non-coding RNA (ACOM_LNC016203)
Source: RNAcentral